This 1418-nucleotide ribosomal RNA is filed under the name Weissella confusa. RNAcentral describes it as "bacterial SSU rRNA". It matches the Rfam family "Bacterial small subunit ribosomal RNA". The record is from RNAcentral. Lineage: Bacteria; Bacillati; Bacillota; Bacilli; Lactobacillales; Lactobacillaceae.
ACUGAUUUGAAGAGCUUGCUCAGAUAUGACGAUGGACAUUGCAAAGAGUGGCGAACGGGUGAGUAACACGUGGGAAACCUACCUCUUAGCAGGGGAUAACAUUUGGAAACAGAUGCUAAUACCGUAUAACAAUGACAACCGCAUGGUUGUUAUUUAAAAGAUGGUUCUGCUAUCACUAAGAGAUGGUCCCGCGGUGCAUUAGCUAGUUGGUAAGGUAAUGGCUUACCAAGGCGAUGAUGCAUAGCCGAGUUGAGAGACUGAUCGGCCACAAUGGGACUGAGACACGGCCCAUACUCCUACGGGAGGCAGCAGUAGGGAAUCUUCCACAAUGGGCGAAAGCCUGAUGGAGCAACGCCGCGUGUGUGAUGAAGGGUUUCGGCUCGUAAAACACUGUUGUAAGAGAAGAAUGACAUUGAGAGUAACUGUUCAAUGUGUGACGGUAUCUUACCAGAAAGGAACGGCUAAAUACGUGCCAGCAGCCGCGGUAAUACGUAUGUUCCAAGCGUUAUCCGGAUUUAUUGGGCGUAAAGCGAGCGCAGACGGUUAUUUAAGUCUGAAGUGAAAGCCCUCAGCUCAACUGAGGAAUUGCUUUGGAAACUGGAUGACUUGAGUGCAGUAGAGGAAAGUGGAACUCCAUGUGUAGCGGUGAAAUGCGUAGAUAUAUGGAAGAACACCAGUGGCGAAGGCGGCUUUCUGGACUGUAACUGACGUUGAGGCUCGAAAGUGUGGGUAGCAAACAGGAUUAGAUACCCUGGUAGUCCACACCGUAAACGAUGAGUGCUAGGUGUUUGAGGGUUUCCGCCCUUAAGUGCCGCAGCUAACGCAUUAAGCACUCCGCCUGGGGAGUACGACCGCAAGGUUGAAACUCAAAGGAAUUGACGGGGACCCGCACAAGCGGUGGAGCAUGUGGUUUAAUUCGAAGCAACGCGAAGAACCUUACCAGGUCUUGACAUCCCUUGACAACUCCAGAGAUGGAGCGUUCCCUUCGGGGACAAGGUGACAGGUGGUGCAUGGUUGUCGUCAGCUCGUGUCGUGAGAUGUUGGGUUAAGUCCCGCAACGAGCGCAACCCUUAUUACUAGUUGCCAGCAUUCAGUUGGGCACUCUAGUGAGACUGCCGGUGACAAACCGGAGGAAGGUGGGGAUGACGUCAAAUCAUCAUGCCCCUUAUGACCUGGGCUACACACGUGCUACAAUGGCGUAUACAACGAGUUGCCAACCCGCGAGGGUGAGCUAAUCUCUUAAAGUACGUCUCAGUUCGGAUUGUAGGCUGCAACUCGCCUACAUGAAGUCGGAAUCGCUAGUAAUCGCGGAUCAGCACGCCGCGGUGAAUACGUUCCCGGGUCUUGUACACACCGCCCGUCACACCAUGAGAGUUUGUAACACCCAAAGCCGGUGGGGUAACCUUCGGGAGCCAGCC